This 415-nucleotide unclassified non-coding RNA is filed under the name fungal sp. RNAcentral's name for it is "partial internal transcribed spacer region". The stretch from base 1 to 46 matches the Rfam family "Eukaryotic small subunit ribosomal RNA", at positions 1786 to 1831 of the family's 1831-position model. The record is from RNAcentral. Lineage: Eukaryota; Fungi.
AAGUCGUAACAAGGUUUCCGUAGGUGAACCUGCGGAAGGAUCAUUAACACGUAUCCACGUAUAAACCAAAACUAAGAACUGUUCUACCCGUUACAAGCCUAACCGCUUUGUGUUGUUUCUCUGAUUAUAAUGGGUUUCUUUGUGAUUCUUGGCCGAAAGACCUUGAGUUGCACUGAGGCAUAUCGGGUUCAACUGUCAGUCCGUUGAGAUUGUAACAAAGUACCUGGCAUUGUCGGGCUCAUGAUUUCAUUCUUUCAUACUCAACCAUUUUGAGGAGGAAGUUUGAUCCCCAUACCAAUUUCACCCGUUUUUACCUAUUUGACAAUUUCUAUAUUCAUGGAGAGAAAUCUCUUUGAAUCUACUAAGAUUUUAUCUUAACUAAGCACAACUCUUAGCAAUGGAUAUCUUGGUUCUC